RNAcentral lists this ribosomal RNA (236 nucleotides) under uncultured bacterium. RNAcentral describes it as "partial 16S ribosomal RNA". It matches the Rfam family "Bacterial small subunit ribosomal RNA", at positions 524 to 759 of the family's 1533-position model. The record is from RNAcentral.
UACGAAGGGUGCAAGCGUUAAUCGGAAUUACUGGGCGUAAAGCGUGCGUAGGCGGUGAGUUAAGUCUGUCGUGAAAUCCCCGGGCUCAACCUGGGAAUGGCGAUGGAUACUGGCUCGCUAGAGUGUGAUAGAGGAUGGUGGAAUUCCCGGUGUAGCGGUGAAAUGCGUAGAGAUCGGGAGGAACAUCAGUGGCGAAGGCGGCCAUCUGGAUCAACACUGACGCUGAGGCACGAAAG